CGGGCGGUCAGAUGGAUACAAACCGUGGGACAACCCAGACGACCUCAUCAGCCACAAGACUGAGUUCUGGAUCCGAAGUCUCCUCUCCUCCACCCUCACUCCACUUCUCUUCAUCUUCGGGUUCCCAGCUAACAUCCUUAACGCCGUCGUCUUCUAUCGACAAGGACUAAGGGAGAGAAUCAACUUGUGUCUGUUCAUACUGUCGUUGGCAGACCUGGUGGCCCUCACCGUGCAGUUUCUCCUCAAUACAGAGAUGGCUUAUAGAAAUCUAUUGAAAGUGGAGUCUAACUUCUUUCUGGAGUAUUUCGUGAGUUUCACAGGGUUCCUGUGGGUCUCCCAGUUCCUGACCUGCGUGAUCGCGUGUGAGCGGUGUUUCUGUGUGUUCAGUCCCUUAAAGGCGCAGAAAUACCUCAAGACGUCCACCAUGGCAUGGGUCAUCUUGGUUACAAGUGUAUUUCUAGUGGGCGGGAUAACUCUCACUGCUGGCUACAAACACAUCUUCAUCUGUGUGUUUGAUCC
This is a long non-coding RNA of Pomacea canaliculata, 519 nucleotides long. RefSeq lists it as uncharacterized. The transcript is spliced from 3 exons. NCBI's taxonomy places the organism in Eukaryota, Metazoa, Mollusca, Gastropoda, Architaenioglossa, Ampullariidae. The record is from RefSeq and is a predicted model, not a curated record.